GGAUUUCGGUUGAGAACGGCCGGUCCGCCGUUUGGUGUGCACUGGCUGGUUUCAACUUCCUGUAGAGGACGCGCUCUGGCUUCACGGCUGGACGCGGAGUCUACGUGGUUACUUUGAAAAAAUUAGAGUGUUCAAAGCGGGCUUACGCUUGAAUAUUUCAGCAUGGAAUAACACUAUAGGACUCCUGUCCUAUUUCGUUGGUCUCGGGACGGGAGUAAUGAUUAAGAGGAACAGUUGGGGGCAUUCGUAUUUCAUUGUCAGAGGUGAAAUUCUUGGAUUUAUGAAAGACGAACUUCUGCGAAAGCAUUUGCCAAGGAUGUUUUCAUUAAUCAAGAACGAAAGUUGGGGGCUCGAAGAUGAUUAGAUACCAUCCUAGUCUCAACCAUAAACGAUGCCGACUAGGGAUUGCAGGAUGUUAAUUGAUGACUCCUGCAGCACCUUAUGAGAAAUCAAAGUUUUUGGGUUCCGGGGGGAGUAUGGUCGCAAGGCUG
This 491-nucleotide ribosomal RNA is filed under the name eukaryotic picoplankton environmental sample. Its description in RNAcentral is "SSU rRNA". It matches the Rfam family "Eukaryotic small subunit ribosomal RNA", at positions 636 to 1139 of the family's 1831-position model. The record is from RNAcentral.